Molecule: ribosomal RNA, 465 nt
Filed under: uncultured bacterium
Lineage: Bacteria
Description: partial 16S ribosomal RNA
Rfam family: Bacterial small subunit ribosomal RNA
Source: RNAcentral
CCUACGGGAGGCAGCAGGAGGGAAUCUUCCACAAUGGGCGAAAGCCUGAGGGAGCAACGCCGCGGGGGUGAAGAAGGUCUUCGGAACGGAAAACCCGGGUGUUAGAGAAGAAAGUGCGGGAGAGUAACUGUUCACGUGUCGACGGUAUCUAACCAGAAAGCCACGGCUAACUACGUGCCAGCAGCCGCGGUCAUACGUAGGUGGCAAGCGUUCUCCGGCUUUAUUGGGCGUAAAGGGAACGCAGGCGGUCUUUUAAGUCUGAGGUGAAAGCCUUCGGCUUAACCGGAGUAGUGCAUUGGAAACUGGGAGACUUGAGUGCAGAAGAGGCGAGUGGAACUCCAUGUGUAGCGGUGAACUGCGUAGAUAUCUGGAAGAACACCAGUGGCGAACGCGGCUCUCUGGUCUGUAACUGACGCUGAGGUUCGAAAGCGUGGGUAGCAAACAGGAUUAGAUACCCUAGUAGUC